GUGGGGAAUAUUGGACAAUGGGCGCAAGCCUGAUCCAGCCAUGCCGCGUGAGUGAUGAAGGCCUUAGGGUUGUAAAGCUCUUUCAGUGGGGACGAUAAUGACGGUACCCACAGAAGAAGCCCCGGCUAACUUCGUGCCAGCAGCCGCGGUAAUACGAAGGGGGCUAGCGUUGUUCGGAUUUACUGGGCGUAAAGCGCACGUAGGCGGAUCGUUAAGUCGGGGGUGAAAUCCUGGAGCUCAACUCCAGAACGGCCUUCGAUACUGGCGAUCUUGAGUCCGGAAGAGGUGAGUGGAACUCCUAGUGUAGAGGUGGAAUUCGUAGAUAUUAGGAAGAACACCAGUGGCGAAGGCGGCUCACUGGUCCGGUACUGACGCUGAGGUGCGAAAGCGUGGGGAGCAAACAGGAUUAGAAACCCGAGUAGUCC
RNAcentral lists this ribosomal RNA (425 nucleotides) under uncultured bacterium. RNAcentral's name for it is "partial 16S ribosomal RNA". It matches the Rfam family "Bacterial small subunit ribosomal RNA", at positions 354 to 796 of the family's 1533-position model. The record is from RNAcentral.